AAGUAAUUUAUUAAACAAAAUUAUUCGCCGGAGAACUACUAGCAACAGCUUAAAACUCAAAGGACUUGGCGGUGCUUUAAACCCCCCUAGAGGAGCCUGUUCUAUAAUCGAUAAACCCCGAUAGACCUCACCACCUCUUGCUAAUCCAGUCUAUAUACCGCCAUCUUCAGCUAACCCUUAAAAGGAGUAAAAGUAAGCACAAUCAUCCCACAUAAAAAAGUUAGGUCAAGGUGUAACCCAUGGGGUGGGAAGAAAUGGGCUACAUUUUCUAUUCAAGAACAACCUACGAAAGUUUUUAUGAAACUAAAAACUAAAGGUGGAUUUAGCAGUAAACCAAGAAUAGAGAG
RNAcentral lists this ribosomal RNA (347 nucleotides) under Ursus americanus (American black bear). RNAcentral's name for it is "partial 12S ribosomal RNA". It matches the Rfam family "Bacterial small subunit ribosomal RNA", at positions 845 to 1356 of the family's 1533-position model. The record is from RNAcentral. Lineage: Eukaryota; Metazoa; Chordata; Mammalia; Carnivora; Ursidae.